GAAGAAAGAAGCAGAGAAGUAAAGAGCAAGAGAGAUGGAGAGAAAAAGAUACUUUAAAAGGCAAAGCAUGGUGUGGUUUUUUGCAGUAUUAAAAAAUAAUUUACGACAUAAAAAAAAAACAUGUAUACAAGUUCAAUAUUCAUAGGGUAAUAGCCGUAUAAUCUAUGGCACAGGCACUCAAAACACUUGACUCAAAACACUAACUGCCUAGUGAGUGAAGGUGUCUCUAUAAAAAGUUUAUGAUAAAAUAGAAAAGCAUUUGCUACAAAGUUCAAUUGGUAAAACCAGGUAUCAAAUCAAAUCAAAUCAAAUAUAAAGAAUACAUGCAAAAAACAAAUAAUUGGAAAAGCCUAGGCUAGAACUCAUUAUCCUUGUUGAUUUGCUGGUAUGGUUGGUUUUCUUAUUUCUCCCAAAUUUUCAAAUAACCCAAAAUAAUGAUGUAUUCUUUUUUAAAAAACCCGUUUGCAGGUUAACAUUUCGGUUUUUCAGAAGCUAGCAAUUUUCCAAAUUCUAAAUGUAGGCUGUCCAGUUAACAUCAUGUUUCCUGGAUUAAGAAAAAGAGCAGGAGAUUAUUUUUUCUCCCUAAUUUAAUUCUGAAAUUAAGAUGGCCUUUAAAAUAAUGAAUUUUACGUCUUCAUCUAAGGGUAGUAUGUCUUUAGUAAAGAACUGAUAAAAAUACAGAAUAUAAAAAGAAAGGAAAAAAAUCAAGAGUACCUCUAGUGAAAGACAACUAUUUUUAAUAACAUCUACAUUCGCUUUUUUUUCUAUGUAUUUUUCCUCUUUUAUUAUAACGUUAUAAUCACACUAUAGGUAUAAUUUCACUUUUGUGUGUUUUUCUCUAUAAAACCCUCUUUGUUCCUUUGUAGGGAUCAUCACAUCUUUUUAUAUUUUUUUUUUCAACGUUUAUUUAUUUUUGGGACAGAGAGAGACAGAGCAUGAACGGGGGAGGGGCAGAGAGAGAGGGAGACACAAAAUCGGAAGCAGGCUCCAGGCUCUGAGCCAUCAGCCCAGAGCCCGACGCGGGGCUCGAACUCACGGACCGCGAGAUCGUGACCUGGCUGAAGUCGGACGCUUAACUGACUGCGCCACCCAGGCGCCCCUCAUCACAUCUUUUUAAUGAAAGUGUAUAUGACAUACAGGAACUGACUGGUUUCAGGCGUACAUCAUAGUUACAAGUCAUUUUUAAAGAGCUCCAAAUUCAGCCCAACAAUAGAUACAUAAUCUAAAAUUAUGCAAGUUCCCAGAAUCGAAAUGUAAGAAAUACUAAAAAAAAAAAAAAAAAAUGAACUUGAAUCAUACUGAAUCCAGGACUAGCUGCUCUCUGAAAAUAUGACCCUACUAAUUAAUAGGCGGGUAUUGCUACAGAACAUGUUUUGACACACAGUGGAGUACUCCACAUACGAAAGCAUCAACUAAUUCCUAAGCAGUCCAACAAUGAUGUCACUUGAGUGCUGGAAUGUUUCGGCUGUCUGUGGAGCCUGGGUGGACAGAGCUGGGGCUGCCAUUUUUCUCACCUUCACUUUAAGUCAAGCUUGGGAAUAUGGAUAUGAAAAUAUGUAGAAGUAAACAGAGGGAAAGACAAGAAUGAAGAGGAGGAGGAAAGGAACAAGUUGGCCAUCUAAAUGGUGCUACAGAAUGGACUUUAGUUGUCGGAAUGAGAAUUUAAUGAAUGGGUCUCAAACUUUGUUGGGUAUGAUAAUCAUCCAGGAGAGUGGUUCGAAGACAGAUUCCUGGACCUUGUCACCAACAAGUAAUACUCAGUUGCUGCAGGGGAGGGGGGCUCUUUAUGAACACUCAGGUUGCUAUUCAAGACAGCAAGUUGGUACUCAGACUAGUUUUCAAGAAACACUCAUUUAAGAUUGUGGAAUAAUUUCCUACUAAAAAAAAGCGCACUUUCAAUGGCAAUAGAGCAUGUUUAAGAGGGGUCUGACCAGUUGCAUCCAAAGACUUAAAAUAAAAAUUGAGAAAGAAGAAAUAAGACUAACUAAGGCUGUAAAUCAAGAUAGCAUCAAGGUAGAAAAAUCUAGGAGUCCUUUUGAGAAUCCAAGAUGGGGACCCAGGAACAAUUGUUACAGCAUUACAUACUUGCCUUCGUGGUCACCAGACAGCAUAUUAAUGUCAGAAAACCCAAAUUUCAUUAUUACUAAUAACAUGCCAUAUGUAUCAUUCAGAUAUGUUUUGAGUGGCCUGGGGCAUAUAAUUAGAAUAUGGUUCCAGAAAAUUGUGCUUUGUACAAAUAAUAACUAUCUCAUAGAAUAAGCAAAGCACUGGUAUUGUGUAUCAUGUAAGCGUCUGUCUGUCUAUCUCUCGGUCUUUAUCACAGAGGGAUGGAUGGAUGGAUAGAUGAAGAGGCAAAGAGUAGGAGAGAGAAAGACAGAAAAAGAUAGCGUAUAUAACCAAAAUCAACAUCAGAAAUGACGUGUUCAGGAAAAUGUAAAUGACUCAAUUUGACCUGAGACGUGCUAAACACUCAAAUCAAGCAACAAACAUAGGCAAAACUGACAAUCUCAUUUAAAACUCUAUCUCUGAUGAUGUUAAAUCAUAGUUGCCUACACUGGCAUUGAUUGGACUAAGAGUAAGGAGUAAUUAUGAAGAAAAUAUUUUCAUAGUCUAAUAAGGGUAAUUUUGAUUACAUCAUUUAUGAUGUUAAUGGAUUUACUUGAUUGCUUCUGUAAUAAAGAAAUCAAAAACAAAAAAUUCCCAGCAAUCCUAUCUUAAGGUAACAUGGAUAAAAGUACAUACAUCACUCCUGAUCGCUCAUUUCUAUAUUAGCACAUCCAAUAAACAUUUUGGUGUCUUGCCCUCUUUUAAUUAUUUGACUUUGCGUAAUUUUCUUUCAUUAUAUGUUAUUACAUUAUUUAAACAUUUUCAUAAAUAUUUUAACGUUUGCAUAACAUUCUAUCAUGUAUGUAUAUUCAAUAUGUAAUAUGUCUUCCCUCAUUUUGAGAUUUCAUAAAUUAUUAAAUUUCUUUCUAAUGAUGUGCCAUUUUACAAAGUGAAGAAAUCACUGGGGCACAUGUACCGUUGUACUAGCUAAGAUGAAAAAGAGAUAACGCAGAGAAAUUUUUAACGAUGACUCCAAUACCUUAGAAAUGAAAAUAGUGCGGGGAGUCUGAGUGGCUCAGUCAGUUCAGGGUCCGACUUCAGCUCAGGUCAUGAUCUGAAGGUUUGUGAGUUCAAGCCCCGUGUCAGGCUCUGUGUUGACAGCUCAGAGCCUAGAGUCUGCUUCGGAUUCUGCAUCUCCCUCUUUCUCUGCCCCUGCUCUACUCAGUCUCUGUCUCUGUCUCUCAAAAAAUGAAUAAAUGUAAAAAAAAAAAAAAUUAAAAUAGUACUAGGGAAAUUCUUGGCCCAGUCUGAAUUUUGUUAAAAUUUUACAAAAGUUAAUGUUCAAAUAAAUUGAUUAAUCGAAUCCCUUUUCUGGAGAUUCAGAGUCAUGACUUAGUAGGGACAGAAUGUUGAAUAUAAUAAACAUAACGUUAAUACAAUCACAACUGUCUACCAAAAGAUGAAUUUGGCAACACAGCAAGCGAUUUCUACAACUCUGGUGGUUCCUGUUUUGUUUGGCUUGGGUUGGCGUGAUAGAUAGUAAUAAUGAUAGGACACCCAGGAAAAAGAAAAACAAUAGUGUCGCAAAUAUUGCCAUGACACUCAAAGACAAAUAAGAAGACAAAGAAUGCUGUUUUUCUUAAACUAAGGUUGGAGAUAAUAACCAGUGAGACUUUCCAUCCAUGUUAAGAGCCUGACUCUAAGGAGGAGGGGGGGAGGAUUUGGCCCACUGCUUGGGGUCAAUGAUCAAACACUAACAGGAAGCCCAAUUACCUUUUUCUAGGUGGGCUAUCAAAGAGCAUAAUCUUUGCACUUCACAGUGUACAGGAGACAUGGUUAAAAGGAAACUGGAGCCAAAGAUAAGGAAAACGAUAGUAGGGAAAUACCCUUUUCAUGAAGCUGUCUCCAGGCCCAUUCAAAUUACUUCUUCGCAUAUAGACAGAACUUUGAAGGUGGGUUUGGCUGUUCUCCUCUUAGUGAUCUUUGAAGAAUCAAGUGAGAGAGCUUCCGUUGGGCAAACGUUUCCUAGUUCCAAGAGUCAUUUCUAGACCCACUAAUGAACUCUACUAUGACUAAGGAUUGGAAUUUAGAAACUACGAUUACUGAUGUAGCAAAGCAAAGCAGUAGACACAGGGCAAUGUAUUUCAAAACAAGAAUCUGAGAGUAUCUGCGACUAUAUUCUUCUUUACAGGGCGAGGAGACAUUGCUGAGAUGACAUGGGAGUUACUCACAUCUUCAGUCUUAAUAAGUCAAGGUAGAGCAAAAACUCCAGUUAUACGCCGUGCGAUGCUGCUAUUGACCUCAUCUUGAUCAAUAUUCAUACUCAAAAUGCCAGAAAAGAAACCUGGGACUUUGACCCCAUCGAAUUGAUAGAUGAUACAACUGCUGGUGACAUACCUGAUCCAAUUACAAAAGACUAAUCCAAGAGAUAUUCAGGCUGACAUCAUAUAAGACUAUGUAUUUAACAAUUUUUUUUAAUGUUUAUUCAGUUUUGAAAGAAAGAGACAGAGCACAAGCAGGGGUGGGGCAGAGAGAGAUGGAGACACAGAAUCCAAAGCAGGCUCCAGGCUCUGAGCCAUCAGCACAGAGCCCGACGCGGGGCUCAAACUCACAAACUGCGAGAUCAUGACCUGAGUCAAAAUCAGACACUCAACAGACUGAGCUGCCCAGGCACCCCCAAGACUAUGUUUUUUAAAGGAAAUCUAGAUAUACCUAGAAUCUUCCACUAGAUUUAUAAAAUUAGUUGCUUAAUGAAAAGAUAAAGGAAAAAAUAAAAGACAGGGAAACCUGGUUUAAGGGCAGUUUGAGUAAAAAGUACGUAAGAAAAAUAGUUGACUAAAGAUGCCUGGGUGGUUCAGUCAGUUAAGCUUCUGAUUUUGGCUCAGGUCAUGAUCUCACAGUUCAUGGGUUCGAGCCCUGUGUCAGGAUCUGCACUGACAGCUCAGAGCCUGGAGCCUGCUUCCGAUUGUGUGUCUCCCUCUCUCUCUCUGUCCCUCCCCUGCUCACACACUUUCUGUGUCUCUCAAAAAUAAACAAACAUGAAAAAUUAAAAAAAAAAAAGAAAAACAGUAGACUGUUAGUUUAUAUUCUAGAUAAUACCAUCUGUACCAUCUGAUCUCUCAAUAAAGCUGAUAUUUUCUUCCUGGUAUAUAUCUGUAUUGGUUUCUCAGCUGGAUCAGAAGUUAUGGGAGGAGAAGUGUGAUCAAACCAAAACAAAUGGUUUUUAGGUCUGAUUAUCUUUUCUCUCUUUGUAUUCUCAUUUUAUAAUUGAGGGUACAGAGACUUAGAGACUUUCCCUACUUCCCAAAGCCAGCCCAUACUAAUGGUAGUUUUUGAGCCUGGAUCUGAAUGGCUUUAAAACCCUUGCCAUUAACCACACUCCCCCAACCCCUCCUGGAGGCAGGAGGUUAGGGUCCUUCCUACACUUGGUGGAAUUCUUUAUAAGAGGAGCAUGGACCUUGCCAUUUGCAACAGCAUGGCUGGAACCGGAGGGUAUUAUCCUAACUGAAACAAGUCAGUCAGAGAAAGAUAAAUAGCCUAAGACUUCACUCAUAUGUGAAAUUUAAGAUACAAAACAGAUGAACAGAAGGGAAGGGAAGCAAAAUUAACAUAAGCCCAGGGAGGGGGACCAAACAUAAGAGACUCUUAAAUACAGAGAACAAAGUGAAGAUGACUGGAGGGGUUGUGGGUAGGGGGAUGGGCUAAAUGGGUAAGGGGCAUUGAGGAAGACACUUGUUGGGAUGAGCAUUGGGUGCUAUAUGUAGGGGAUGAAUUCAUGGAUUCUACUCCUGAAAUCAUUAUUGCACUAGAUGCUAGCUAACAUUGGUGUAAAUUUAGAUAAUUAAUUAAUUAAUUAAUUAAUGAAAAAUCUGAGGAUCAUGGACUGACUCAAGUCCACUGCAAGAGGAAGUGGGCAGGGGUGGAGGUCAGGGUGAUGGGGAUUUGAAAAAUUAUGCAAUAUGAGUCAUGGCAAAAUGAAAUGGAAAAGGUUUACUCUGAACAGAGGACACAUGGCAAGGACAAGGACACUACUGUCCAUCAUUUCAAUGGAUGCAGAGUGGAAGCAAGAUUAGAAGUAUUCGAUCCAUAAGCAGAAAGCUGACCUCUGCUGGGAGGUUGAAUGAAAAAAUGGGGGUGGCUGAUUUUCAUUAAUAUGUAAACAGGCAUUAUAAUUUAAACUACAGAAAAAUAUUCUUGGCUUCCUCAAUUCCAGCUCCAACAGGGCUGGGUGGUCACUUUUCGGGAAUCUGUGCAAGAAGUAGGUGUCCUCGAUUUAUUCAUCCAUUUAGUAAAGAUGAACUGAGCAUCUACUGUGAGUGAGGCAUGCUUCUCGAUGGUCAGAAUGCCCUGGUGACCAAGAGACAUGGACAUAUUUAUAAAAUAAAUUACAAUUAUAAUAGACAACUAAAACACACAGUGUUGAAUAAGUGAUAGGAUACUUCUCUCAGAGUUCCAUUCUGGCAAGAGGGUGAGGAAGAAAAAAACCCAAGUAAGCAAAUAAUGAAUAACUUAAUUUUUGGUGAUAAUAACUGCCAUGAAAAACAAAUCAUGAUGUGAAAGAGUAUGACCAAGGAUGUGGGUCAACUUUAGAUAGCUGUUCAAAAAAGUCUUCUCUAAGCUGACACCUACUGAACUGAGUACUUAAUGACAAAACAGAGCUUACAAAAUCUAGGGUAUGGAAUUUGAGCUGGGGUAAUAGCAAGGACAAAGCAUCUUAGGUUUUUUGUGUGUUGUUUUUUUUUAAUUUAUUUAUUUGGAGAGAGAAACCGGGAUCAUCAACAGAGAAGGGACAGAGAGAGAGACACACACAGAAUCCCAAGCUGGCUCCAGGCUUGGUUGUUGUCAGCACAGAGCCUGAUGCGGGGCUUGAACCCACAAACUGCAAGUUCAUAACCUGAGCCAAAGUCAGACACUUCACUGACCGAGCCACCCAGGUGCCCCAAAGCAUCUUAGGUUUGAGUGGGCUUCUUGUAUAGAAGGAAAUUCACUACAAGUAGAGAAUCACUAGCUUAACUGAGAGGUUAGGUUCACCUGUUAAUGUAAUAUUCCUUACUUGAAAAUAUUUCAUCAGUCUAAAUUCAUGAAAUAGAUUAUAUUUCAUAAUAUAGGUAUAAAGGUAUACGUGUGAAAUAUCCAUGAGGUCUGCUGUCAAUAGAGAAAUACAUUCUGUGGCAAGCUUUUGAGACCUACAGAUAAAGAUUUUGACACCUGUAAAUCUAUAGAGGGGUAUUGGCCUCAGUUUCCCUCUCACUUUCCCUAAGGGAAAAUCCUCUGCACCUUUGUUGAUUAUUAUGAUGAACACUUUUUUCACAGCAGUUGAAGACCUUGCAUUCCAACAUCACUCCCAUCCUUGGCUCAGGGACCAAGCACAACACAGAGAGCUGGGAGCCCCAGCUCUUGUCUCCUGCCAUCAUUGACCAAGUGUGUAAUUUUAAUCAAGGGGUCAUGUCUCAGAGCCUCCAGUCUCUCCAUCUGUAAACAGAGAGGAUUACACUUGCCUAACCAGUUGGAUGUCAUCUCCGAGAUCAAGGCAGACAACGACAUAAAAGAGAAUUUGAGAAGGUUUAUAUUAUCAGACAGCAACCUUAAGAGAAACUUGAAGCACGCUCCUUCUGUGGAGGAGAAGGACAUCUUUGUCAUUAUUCUACAACUUGCAGAGGAUAUGAAGCCCACAGCACGCUCCUAACCAAGAUAUAGGAAGAGAAGCAACUUGAACAUAAGGGAAAUACCCAAAGGAGAGGGAGGAGUGAAGGAUGGUGAUCUGGAGGAGUAGGGAAGAGCGAGAUUUGAACCUGAGAGGCGAGAUGGUGGUAAAGAAAUUAUGAAUGAGAGCUUUGCAAAAUAGACAAAAGGAAAAACUCAGGUAAAAAUGCAGGCACACAUAAGGAAGGAAUGUACCCCAGCACUACAUCCCUUAACACGUCUUCUGUUUUUAUUAAAAGGCAAAAACUAUCUUGACACAUACCCUUCAGGGGCGACCCUCCCCCAGUUGACUCAUCUGCGGAAAUGGAAAAUCUGUGAAUUUUUAUGGGUUUCCUCAUAUUUAUUCUUUACCAGAAUGAUACUAUUAUUUAACUUCCUUUCCUCUAACAACAUUAUACUAUAAUGUUGCAGAUAUAGAUUGGGAUCCUUACUGCCUCAUUGGGGCUGGGGUGGGGGCAGGGUGCAGUGGACACUAACAAUAGCAAAAAAAAAAACCACACCUUCUCUCACAGAGAAAAGGGUAUCUAUAGAGUUUAUGAAAAUAUUUUGCCAUUUUCCAGGCUCUCUACAUACCGAAGAGUGAAAACGACAAACUAUGAAGUGUCAGCAGACAGACAAUUCCAUCAACCAAGUAAAGAUCCUGAUAACAGACACUUACGACAGUUCAAUGCAAAUGAGACUUUCCAACGCAACAAGUUUCCAAAGGGUGGCUGGUGGAGAUUCGUGACUGACUUCAUGGAGCUCAUCUGUAGCUAUUACUUGACUGUGGACACACGUCAUGUCCCCCAAACAUGUAUCCCAAAGCCUAGGUGAAAAAUUCGUCAGAAAAGACUUCUCCAUACCAAAUUUUCUGCCCCUCUCUCCAUCUCAUCACCCCUACCCCCAUAAACUGCCUGAAAUUCCAGCAUCUAAGAGUCUUUAGGGCUCAUACUUUGUAUAUUUUUAAGAACUAUCACAGGAGAUGAUAUGUAUCAUGUUCUGGAAAGUCCAACUCUAAAGUCAUUAUCAGUGCCAUGUCUUACGAAAUGAAUGAAAAUGAGAUACAGGCAAUUUGUUGGGGGUUUUCUGGCGGGGGGGAGGGUGGGAAGGGGGCUCGUAGAAGACAAGGAUUGUCUUUUCUGUCUAGGAAAACAGUCUGAGUGAAGCUGCACUGAGGCUUCUGUAUGAGUUUUGAAAAGAGCUCUUUGAAGAGAGCCAACAUAAUGGAAAGGUGCUUUCAGGAGGUAUAAGUCUAUCAAAGCUUAACCUGUUCAACAUCCUAAUUAUUCUCUGACAUUUGGCAAGGCUACCAUACCCUCAUAUCAUAAAGAAAAUAAUAAUUACAAAAUUCUCAUCAUACAGCAUUGGUAACAGAUAUGACAUAGUUGAAUUUGAAGGGAGACAGUAAAACUUAAGACAAAUGUAUGAUAAAUCAGGUGUCUUUAAAGGUCAGAAAAAGAUUAUCCUAUAAACUACCUCAUUAAUUUACAAGUCCUGAUUUGCCAGUUGGUGGAGGGAGAGGGUAUGACUACUGUUCAUUCUUUCUUCAGAUUUGAGGUUUUCUCUUUUAGCUGUUGCCUUUAAGAUAAAAGAGAAGAAAAAGAAUGAGUCAACAGAAAGCCAAGUGUUUCUGUUCUGGUUUUGGAGAAUGGGUAGGGAGAGAGGCUAAGUCCUAGAACAGGAGAGAGUGAAUAUAAAAUGAAAAGCCGCAGAAUUUCAGCAUCAGGGGAGGGCAUGUAUCCAAAAACCAGUCUAGAGCCAUUUAACAAAUAAUAGGUGAGGGUCAGGGGUGCCUUAAUGAUUCUGGCCACACUCGCUGGAGCAUUCCAGACUCUACCCUCAGUAUCUGUGCUUUCUCCCCACCCCCCACUCCACUAAUCUGCUUUGAGACCUUCUUUCCUAAGCUAUAGUGUAUGGGUUCCUGACAUUAAGGCACAAGGAAAAAAACAAUCAACACAGACCAAGAUUUUUAAGUUAGACUGCACAAUAAUUAACCUUGAAAUAUCUCCGGGAGGUGAGGGUGAGGUUUGGGAGUGGAGCCUGGGAUUCCCAGUGGGGCUGUUGACAUUCGUCACAUAGGAAGCCUGGGAACAUUAUUACCUUUGUAAAGGAUAUUAGGAAAUGAGUGGAGAGAUUUGAUUCCCAAUUCUACAAUUCUAUGUAAAGUUUGAUAAGCAUAUUUGUAAGCGAUUUUCCAGCUUCCUCGGACUAAUUGCUUGAAAGUCACUGCCACACUCUUAACUUAAAUACGCAAGUUCAUUUUAUUCCAAUGUGAGAAAGAAACGAGCAUAAAGCUGUCUUUUCAUCCCCAGAUACUGAAGUGUUGCAGUAACGGUCCAAGCCCAAGAUAGAGCUGGUACUGCUGGGGGUGCAGCUAACAGAAACUAUGAGAACUUUUCGUGUCCCUUUGAAAGCUCUGCUUGACCAGAAACUCACUGUAACUAGUUAGCCAAUCUCCAAACAUGAGGCAAUAUGGGCCUUCUCACCCCUAACACAUUGACUUUGUGGCCCCAGCCAAUCAGAUCAUUUCUAUUUGUCGAUCCUUGUUAUCUAUUCUCUACCCUAUAAAGGCUUCUUGCCUUCUAGUCCAUUUCACAGUUCUCUGAAAGGAGACUGCCCACUUCCUAAAGUGUGAAACCAAGUUUGUUUGUAUCACCUAAAAUGCCUUCCUUAUUCCUUUUUGUAACAAAAGCUCUGGGAGACUAGUUGCUGGAUGUUUUAUGCAAUCCUUACCACCCUGCUGUAUUUGAAAAACCGAAAAUAGUAUUAAAUGGUGUUGCCAUUUCUUCGAACCUUAUUAGUAUGGCAUUUUACGGGGCUGGUCUCAUUUCCCCCGUUUACUGUCACAAACAACACUGAAAAAAGAAAUCAUGGUAUCUUUCUACUUUGAUUUGUAAAAAACAUUCCCUUGACUCCAUUCAAAUGGAGAAACAAACUUCUAAUGGCAUCCAUUUACAACGUUGCUCAAGACAACUACCAAACUUUUAACAGCACAUACAGGACUACUAUAUAUUUAAACAAACUUAAUAUGCUCCAGAGAAUUUCUAAAGCAUUUCUGUUUGGAGGCGUCUAUGACUUCCCCACCACAUACUUAUGAUUUCUCAACAUUUGUUUUUUUUUUUUGGUUUUCUCUCCCUCAAGUUGUUUUCCCACAGCAUUUUUGUAGCAGGGUACCUCUGUUAACUAUAAACUUUUACAAGUUUAUUUUUAACCCUUGCAUUUGCACCCUCCUGCAUUUAUAGAACAGAAAUCUGUCUUCUGAAACAAACCCCCUCUUUUAAGUUCCACACUGGCAUUUCAGACUGACCAGCUGGACAGACACUUCAUUCAGUCACUGACAAUUCAUUCCAGCCUCACAAGUGCAGCUGGGGGAUUAGAACUUUUUCAGUCACCGAGUACUUUUUACUGAAGAAAGAUUUGCGGUCCUCAAGAUGGCCUAAUUUAUUCCAUACAUCCCUAAAGUGCCAUAAACAAUCUAAGAAUUGCCCAAUCAAUACUUUGUUCUUGUUACAUAGGAAAAAAAAUAGCAAGAAGAACAAAGUAAAAGAAAAGAAAAGGAAAAAAAAAAACCUUGGGAAAAAAUAUCCACAGUGAUUUAUGUAUGCCAUAUUUUUUGAAGAUACUUGCACAAUUUUUACUCUGGGAUAAUUGCUUUAAGACAAGUCAAAUAUGCUCUAUCUGGCUAGAAUUCACAUAACUUCAACAGUUAUUUACACUGGAACUAAUCAAUGGGAAUACACAUAGAACAAGAUAAUGUUCUCAUUCUCAAUAUCCUUACCAGCGGUUCAUAGACAACAGAUAACUCUAGCUGCAGUUUCCCCAGAGUGCUAUGGAAGCAGGGAAAAGAAAUGAAUCCAGUUUGGGAUAUGUCGGGAAGGAGGGCAGGUCACGAAACUACUGCCUGAAGUAACUGGUAAACUGAGUCGUAAAGAAUGAACAGAUUUUAUCAAGGUAAAUCAAAUGGAGAAAGAAUAUUCCAGAGAAAGAACAGCUGGCACAAAAUACUGGGUUGUGAAACGGCCUAAUGUUUACAGUCAACAAUAAUGGAUCAGCAUUUGUGGAAUUUGGAGCAAUGGAGUAUAGAUUCUAGGCAAGCAGUGGAACUCAGGACAUAAGAGAGUCCUCCUAGGAAAGGGCCAAGGACAUCAUGGUAAGGAACCAGAAACUUAAUCUGCAGAAAGAGAAAUCAUAGUAUAAAUAGAUAGGAAUUGGGGGUAGAUUGCAUUAAUGAUACAGACAAAUUUUAGGGUAGCAAGAUUGAAGGCAAAGAUAUGUAGGGGAGACAAAAAAAAACCUUUUCCUCAACCCAUUUUAGAUUCAGGGGCUAGGUCCUUGCAAAUUAGACAAAGGACAGAUUAACAAAGGAGUAACAAAGAAGUUCACUAAUAUGUAUAUUGUUGAUAUACACAGAGGUACUCAGUGAUGAGUAACUCAAAGGGGUGUUUAGAACUUGAACUUGUAUAACAUAGUAGCUAAGAACAAAAAUGUUGCCGAGAAUUGACAAAGCCAAAUGGAAGGACUUUGAGCCUCUAGGGAUGAAAGUUGCAGAAAUGUUAAUAAAUGGGGGGAAAUGGUAGAUAAUAGAAAGGGUUGUGUCGGCUUCUUCUAGGUGCUAUCUCUGGGUUGAGAAAAGUCUAGAGUUCUCUUGUGAUUAAAUUCUCUCUCCUCAUAGAAAGGAAGGGAGAGACAGCUUUGCAAAUUUAUGUCCUGCUUUUAGGCAAACAGGGGGAGGACAGAUAUCUUUUCUUGUAUCUGCUUCUUCUCAAUUGUCUUCAGCUCAAAAUAAUCCCUAAGCAAAAGCAGCAUAUUUUGGAAUCACACAUCCUGGAGUAGCAACAUAGAUGUUUGAUGCAGAGAGUAUCAUAAAUAAUGGGUGGAGGAUGAUGGGGAUUUAAAUAAGAAAGAGGUAGUAGGGAUGAACAGAGGAAGACUGAGUCGAUGCAAAUUUAGAAGACAAAAAUGAAAAGAUCCACAUAAUUAUACUGACUGUACAGUGAAAAAAAGGAGGUGGGGGGGGUAAUGGCAUGCAACUAAGGAGAACAUGGGAGAAGGAGAAAAUAAAAAGAUGCAGCCUUGAAGAUGACUCUACUUUUAGAUGAGAGAUGCCCAGGAGGAACUUGGGCUUCUUGGUAUAGAUCUCACAGAAUGCAAGCAAGCCUGCAUUAGGAGUCACUGAUGUAAAGUGGUUAAAAUGACAAGCGUGACUGAACUCAAAGAAUGGGUGUUGAGCAGACCUGAAAACCAGAAAAGGUCAGCAAUAUGAAACUUUGACACCAGCCAAGCUAAAGGACACCGAGGAAGAUUGUCUCAGAGGUGACAAGGGAUACCAGAGAAACUGAAGCCACAGAAGCUGAAGGACAGUGGGAGUUUCAAGGACAAGAGUGGGCAAAAUUGUCCCAAGAGCGGCUCUCUCCUGUCAAGUAUAAACCAGAACCAUUUUCUUGACUAAUGUAGAGGUCGCUGGGGAACCCUGGGGUUGUAGUGGAGGGUGGGGCCCUUUUAGGGCAGUGAAAUGGAUUGACAGAACUAGAGAAAUCAAAUAAUUGGGACUCGUUUGAAAUACAUAUAUGUUAUUUUGUGAGGAACCUCCACACUGUUUUCCAGAGCGGCUGCACCAGUUUGCAUUCCCCCCAGCAGUGCAUGAGGGUUCCCAUUUCUCCACAUCCUUAACCAGCAUGGGUUGUCUCCCGAGUUGUUCAUGUUAGCCACUCGGACUGGUGUGGGGUGGAAAAUGGGUGGUGGGCAUCGACGAGGGCACUGGUUGGGAUGAGCACUGGGGGUUCUAUGGAAGAGAUGAACCACGGGAAUCUACCCCCCAAACCAAGAGCACACUGUAUACACUGUAUGUUAGCCAACCUGGCAAAUAAAUAAAUAAAUAAGUAAGUAAGUAAGUAAGUAAGUAAGUAAGUAAGUAAAUAAAUAAAUAAAUAAAUAAAUAAAUAAAAUGUACAUUCUCUGGCCGGAAUAUGUAACGCAAGAAUCCCACCUCCAUCCUCCCCCAGUGGCACACGCUUUAUUCACGUGUAUUUGAAUGGGACAGAUGCACUAUGUUCACAAGGUGAGAGCCUGUAGAGAAAAACGUUGAUGCUACCAACGACCGCGGGUAACUGAGAAUCAAGGGAAGGGAGGCAAUCAAUUCAAGGGCAAAUCUAGAGUGAUUUUGCCUUCCACAGGAGGAAGCCCACCACCGUCUUUCCAAAACUGCAGGCAAGGACUAUGGCCUGCACUUCGGUGGAUGCGUUUGGUGAAUUAACCUAUUCCAAAUCAGUCUGCACCUGUUGCUACACACCUACAAAUGGAUCCAAGCUAUACGUCUUCAUGUUACCACUUUUGGGGCUCCUCUCAAGAACUUAGGCACAGACAUGAAAUGCCAGGGUAAAACUAGGCUCACACAGUAGACAUGUGCAAACCAGCUGAAGUGACAGCCUGAGAGCAUGAACAUAGAGUGGCCUGGUGGUAAAUAUUAAGUACCUCCUAUGGUCAAGAUACCGCGACAAACAUUUUGCAGACAGAAAGUAAUCAUCCUCAUUUAUUAUUGAGAAUAAUCAAAUUUAUUUAGUCCUCUUCUUCGCUUCUCAUAGAUGAGACAACUGGGUCACUCACGCCAAGCUACACAGAAAAAGCUUUACAGAAAAAUUACUUGGUAGAAAAGGAAGGAAUGGGGACAGGGCCUAAGCACAUACUAUCCCGCUUCAGAAUCUGUGAACCUGGAUUCUAAAACAAAAAUUUUCAGGGGCGCCUGGGUGGCUCAGUCAGUUAAAUGUCUAACCGCAGCUCAGGUCAUGGUCUCACGGUUUGUGGGUUCGAGCCCCACGUCGGGCUCUGCGCUGACCGCUCGGAGCCAGGAGUCUGCUUUGGAUUCUGUGUCUCCCUCUCUCUCUGCCCCUCCCCAGCUCCAACUCUGUCUCUGUCGCUGUCUGUCAAAAAUAAACAUUUAAAAAUAAAUAAAUGAAAGCAA
RNAcentral lists this long non-coding RNA (14686 nucleotides) under Lynx pardinus (Iberian lynx). Lineage: Eukaryota; Metazoa; Chordata; Mammalia; Carnivora; Felidae. The record is from RNAcentral.